RNAcentral lists this transfer RNA (83 nucleotides) under Oryctolagus cuniculus (rabbit). It matches the Rfam family "tRNA". From Rfam's summary of the family: Transfer RNA (tRNA) molecules are approximately 80 nucleotides in length. The record is from Rfam by way of RNAcentral. Lineage: Eukaryota; Metazoa; Chordata; Mammalia; Lagomorpha; Leporidae.
GGCGCUGUGGCGCAGUGGGUUAACGCUCUGGCCUGAAGCGCCAGCAUCCCAUAUGGGCGCCGGUUCAAGACCUGGCUGCUCCA